CGUAACAAGGUAACCGUAAAGUUUGAUCAUGGGUUGAGAAACACGAAAGUGGCCUGCCCCUGACUCUGGGAUAAGCCUGAGAAAUUGGGUCUAAUACUGGAUAUGAACAUUUGCCGCAUGGUGGGUGUUGGAAAGAUUUUUUGGUUGGGGAUGGACUCGCGGCCUAUCAGCUUGUUGGUGAGGUAGUGGCUCACCAAGGCGACGACGGGUAGCCGGCCUGAGAGGGUGACCGGCCACACUGGGACUGAGACACGGCCCAGACUCCUACGGGAGGCAGCAGUGGGGAAUAUUGCACAAUGGGCGAAAGCCUGAUGCAGCGACGCCGCGUGAGGGAUGACGGCCUUCGGGUUGUAAACCUCUUUCAGUAAGGAAGAAGCGAAAGUGACGGUACUUGCAGAAGAAGCGCCGGCUAACUACGUGCCAGCAGCCGCGGUAUUACGUAGGGCGCGAGCGUUAUCCGGAAUUAUUGGGCGUAAAAAAGCUCGUAGGCGGUUUGUCCCGCCUGCCGGGAAAAUCCCGGGGCUUAACUCCC
This 532-nucleotide ribosomal RNA is filed under the name Neomicrococcus lactis. RNAcentral describes it as "bacterial SSU rRNA". It matches the Rfam family "Bacterial small subunit ribosomal RNA", at positions 73 to 617 of the family's 1533-position model. Lineage: Bacteria; Bacillati; Actinomycetota; Actinomycetes; Micrococcales; Micrococcaceae. The record is from RNAcentral.